Molecule: non-coding RNA, 94 nt
Organism: Triticum aestivum (bread wheat)
Lineage: Eukaryota; Viridiplantae; Streptophyta; Magnoliopsida; Poales; Poaceae
Source: Rfam
GAAGUACUCCCUCCGUCCCAAAAUAAGUGACUCAACUUUGUACUAAAGCUAGUACAAAGUUGAGUCACUUAUUUUGGGACGGAGGGAGUAUUUU